This 492-nucleotide ribosomal RNA is filed under the name uncultured bacterium. RNAcentral's name for it is "partial 16S ribosomal RNA". It matches the Rfam family "Bacterial small subunit ribosomal RNA", at positions 29 to 507 of the family's 1533-position model. The record is from RNAcentral.
AGUGAACGCUGGCGGUAGGCCUAACACAUGCAAGUCGAACGGCAGCACAGUAAGAGCUUGCUCUUACGGGUGGCGAGUGGCGGACGGGUGAGGAAUACAUCGGAAUCUACUUUUUCGGGGGGGAUAACGGAGGGAAACUUACGCUAAUACCGCAUACGACCUACGGGUGAAAGCAGGGGAUCUUCGGACCUUGCGCGAUUGAAUGAGCCGAUGUCGGAUUAGCUAGUUGGCGGGGUAAAGGCCCACCAAGGCGACGAUCCGUAGCUGGUCUGAGAGGAUGAUCAGCCACCCUGGAACUGAGACACGGUCCAGACUCCUACGGGAGGCAGCAGUGGGGAAUAUUGGACCAUGGGCGCAAGCCUGAUCCAGCCAUACCGCGUGGGUGAAGAAGGCCUUCGGGUUGUAAAGCCCUUUUGUUGGGAAAGAAAAGCAGCAGGUUAAUACCCCGCUGUUCUGACGGUACCCAAAGAAUAAGCACCGGCUAACUUCGUG